AUGCAGUCCUACCUGCACGAGCUGCCCUCCACCUACAACCUCGUGAUGCUUGACCUCGUCAGGCGUGGCCGCCUCCUCUACAAGCACAAUGAGGGCCGCCUUCUCGUCAAGAUCUACUUCAAGCGCGCCGGAGAGCCCCUCGAGCUCAAGUCACCGCCGGAUUCGAGGGUGGAGCCCGAGCCUCCACUGGAGCAUGAAUCAGACGUGCAGGAGGUGGAGCUCCGCAUGGAUCAUGACAUGGUCGUCGCGGGGGCAAGGAUCAUCAAGUCUGCAGGCGGCAUCAGGGGAGGUGCAGUGCCAGCUGCUGGACAUGGUUCACCCUGGGUUGCUGCUGAUGCACAAGGUGAAUUUCGAUGCCAAGACGGAGUAUGA
Molecule: ribosomal RNA, 372 nt
Filed under: Triticum aestivum (bread wheat)
Lineage: Eukaryota; Viridiplantae; Streptophyta; Magnoliopsida; Poales; Poaceae
Description: partial small subunit ribosomal RNA
Source: RNAcentral